CUACUCGUCCAGUGGAGGAGGGCCGAGUCGGAGUUCAUGGCGACGGAGCACAGCCCCAUCGAUACGGCACAGAUCGACGACAAUGGAUCCACUUUCAUCUCCGGUGUUCCGGGCGCGAGGAGACGAGCAACUUCCAAGGCGGAUGGCGCAUAUGGGUCUUCAUCGUAAUGGAUGCGUGAGAUGCCAGAUCUGGUACAGCCUGCCGAAGUACGAGCGCUACGUGGUGGUCAAGGGCGAGCGCGUGCACCUGUCAGACUCGGAGGAUUCAUCUG
Molecule: long non-coding RNA, 272 nt
Organism: Triticum dicoccoides
Lineage: Eukaryota; Viridiplantae; Streptophyta; Magnoliopsida; Poales; Poaceae
Exons: 3
Source: RefSeq, a predicted model, not a curated record